Molecule: ribosomal RNA, 497 nt
Filed under: uncultured bacterium
Lineage: Bacteria
Description: partial 16S ribosomal RNA
Rfam family: Bacterial small subunit ribosomal RNA
Source: RNAcentral
GAUGAACGCUGGCGGCGUGCCUAAUACAUGCAAGUCGAGCGAACAGACGAGGAGCUUGCUCCUCUGACGUUAGCGGCGGACGGGUGAGUAACACGUGGAUAACCUACCUAUAAGACUGGGAUAACUUCGGGAAACCGGAGCUAAUACCGGAUAAUAUAUUGAACCGCAUGGUUCAAUAGUGAAAGACGGUUUUGCUGUCACUUAUAGAUGGAUCCGCGCCGCAUUAGCUAGUUGGUAAGGUAACGGCUUACCAAGGCAACGAUGCGUAGCCGACCUGAGAGGGUGAUCAGCCACACUGGAACUGAGACACGGUCCAGACUCCUACGGGAGGCAGCAGUAGGGAAUCUUCCGCAAUGGGCGAAAGCCUGACGGAGCAACGCCGCGUGAGUGAUGAAGGUCUUCGGAUCGUAAAACUCUGUUAUUAGGGAAGAACAAAUGUGUAAGUAACUAUGCACGUCUUGACGGUACCUAAUCAGAGAGCCACGGCUAACUACGUG